AGCACAUUGUGCAUACACAUGAAACUACUGCCACAUCCCAAGUGUCCUGCCUCAAGUAACUGAUGAACUGGUCCCAAGGACAUUAGAAGUGACUCUGCUCCCAUUACCCCAUUUCUCCACAAGGCCCAGACACAUUCCCAAGGCUGCACAGCUGGGAAGCAGCAAAGCUCGGAUUUGACCCCAAGUAAUGGAUUCUCCAGAUGGAAGAACCAGGGGCCCUGCUGAUGGCCCUUAAAGCUCUUUCCAACCCUUCUCCAUUACAAAAACACCAUGCUGAGCAACCCCACAGGUGCCUGUGUUUGUAAGCAUGCACUGGUAGGUAUUGCUGUAUCAAAAGACGAUGUACGGUUCUAUUACUGUUAGGCGCUGCCAGAAGGGAAAGAGACUGCCCAUUUCCCCACAUCCAUGCCAGAACUGCAGGUUCUUGUUUUUGCCACUCUGGUGAGAGGCGCCUUCCUCAUGGCCCUAGGAAGGUAGCGAGGUUAUGUCCCAGCCCCAGGUGGGCAGCCUCCUUCCUGUAAGGGAUCAUCCAGGGAGCACCCUGUGCCAGCUCACCUCCGGGCAUCCUGUUGUCGUGGAAAUAUUUCAGGUCCUGCUUUCGUCCUGAAUAGCAACGUCAGUGGAAAGAGAAGGUCUCUGUUAUGGGCUAAAUUGUGCGUUCCCUCAAAAUUCGUAUGUUGAAGUCCCAACCCCCAAGACCUCAAAAUAUGACUGCAUUUAGAGAUGGGGUCUUUAAAGAGGUGGUUACGUUAAAAUGAGGUUGUUAGGGUGGGCCCUAAUCCAGUCUGCCUGGUGUCCUUAUAAGAACAGACCCCAGGAGCGCUCCUGCACAGGGGGAUGGUUGCGUGCAGAGGCAGCAAGACGGCUGCCACCUGCAGGCCAAAGAGAGAGGUAUGGACGGAAACCAAUCCUGACAGUCGGCAUCUCGAGCUUGGACUUCCAGCCUCCAGCACUGUGAGAAAAUAACUGUGAUGAUUAAGCCACCCAGUCUGUGGUCUUUGGCUAUGGCAGUGCUAGCAAACAAAUACAGACUCUUUCCCUGCACAGCUGGAAGAGUUCCUGAGAAGAUGCCCAUAUGCCUGGCUUGGGUCACUUCCCAUCUGUUACCAAUUGCUGUGGCCACCAGAUGCUGAGCUCUAACUGGCCAGGCCUUGGCCAAGUGCUCAUCCCUGGAGCUAGGGAUGGGCUUAGCCUGCCAACCUGGGUUCACUUCUCCUUGUUUGAUUAAAAAUUUUAAUUUAAAGCAAGUGAGGGCUGGAUGCAAUGGCUCACUUCUAUAAUUCCAACCCUUUGGGAGGCUGAGGUGGGAGGAUCACUUCAGCCCAGGAGUUCGAGACCAGCCCAGGCAACAUAGCAAAACCUCAUCUCUACAAAAAAUAUUUAAAAAUUAACCAGGUGUGGUGGCACGUACCUGUGGUCCCAGCCACUUGGAAAGCUGAGGUGGGAAGAUCACUCGAGCCUGGGAGAUCAAAGCUGCAGUGAGCUGUGAUUGCACCACUGCACUACAGCCUGGGCAACACAGCGAGACCCUGUCUUAAAAAAAAAAAAAAA
Long non-coding RNA from Macaca fascicularis (crab-eating macaque), 1551 nucleotides. The record is from Ensembl. Lineage: Eukaryota; Metazoa; Chordata; Mammalia; Primates; Cercopithecidae.